UACGUCGGGGGCAAGCGUUGUCCGGAUUUAUUGGGCGUAAAGAGCGUGUAGGCGGCUAGGUAGGUGGGUUGUGAAAACUGGAGGCUCAACCUUCAGAGGUCGACCCAAACCCCCUGGCUAGAGUCCGGAAGAGGAGAGUGGAAUUCCUGGUGUAGCGGUGAAAUGCGCAGAUAUCAGGAAGAACACCCGUGGCGAAGGCGGCUCUCUGGGACGGUACUGACGCUGAGACGCGAAAGCGUGGGGAGCGAACAGG
RNAcentral lists this ribosomal RNA (253 nucleotides) under uncultured bacterium. RNAcentral describes it as "partial 16S ribosomal RNA". It matches the Rfam family "Bacterial small subunit ribosomal RNA", at positions 524 to 776 of the family's 1533-position model. The record is from RNAcentral.